UGACCUCAAUGGCUGCUGAAGUCUCUUCCAGU
Molecule: non-coding RNA, 32 nt
Filed under: Macaca fascicularis (crab-eating macaque)
Lineage: Eukaryota; Metazoa; Chordata; Mammalia; Primates; Cercopithecidae
Also listed under: 1 other name
Source: RNAcentral